UCAUUACUUUCUUGCUCCACCUUCUGUCACAUAUCUCCUCUGUCUCAACUUCCGUAUUUCAUCUGCUAUUACAAGUCAGAAAGGGGGCACGUAGCUACUUGUGAAUAAAAAUAAACUGGCAAUACAUUUUGUUGGUAAGUCUAGGCCUAGGAUCCAGGCUGUCCUUCAGUGAACCGCCUUUAGAGCGCUCUAUCCUCUCCAGGGUUCAUUUGCUGAAGUAGGAACUUGGGCAAACAGGGGAAAUGAGGUUUGGUUUUGUAAGCUUUGUAGCACUACAAUAAGCAGAGCAGUAAAGAUGAGCAUUAAAAGCAACAGGAUAAGGGUCUGAACCUCCCUUCUUUCUUUAAUAAAACAUUCCAUUGCUUCAGACCCUAAGCCAGAGCUCAGAAGGGGAAGUGGGGAGAAAACCAGAAAUUGCUCUUAGUAUUGGGAGGUGGUAUAAAAAAUAGGCCUUCAAUACAAUAGCCAAUUUCAAACCACUCUCACUUAGUGCUUGCCACAAGCAUCACUUUAUCUCUGGUCCAAGCUGAGCUUUCUGCUUUGAUACCCGUGCACAUGAGCACCAAGACUUGCAUUGUAUUUGUUAGUGGAAUUGCAACUGAUUCUCUUACAAUACCUGGAUUUUAAAUCCUCAUCCAUAAAAGUUAUUUGCUUCUGUAAAUCUUCCCCCCACACACAGCACCUUUUUACUGCUCACAAGUGAAAGACUAUUAUAGCAGUUUAAGUGUCCAACAAUACCUAAGACUGGUGUGACACAUAUGAUGUAUCAACCAGAUGCUCUAUGCAUAAUGGAUAUUCAUUUGAAAAUAAUCCUGCACACUUUCAGCCCAAGCUACAAUAGUGCAGAAUUUUAUCUUCAGAGAUGCUAAUCUCAGCCAGAUCUGCUGACAGGGACAGGGUAUGCUAUGGACAAGCUCUACAACCAGCUCUUCAGGCUAAUAUAUGAGGUCAGGUCUAGUAAAGAGAGUACAAAGAAUACCUAACCAGUACACCUGAUAAUUGUAAUGCCUGCAGGAUGAGGUAUACAUGUUACUGAUAAAGAUACUCAUCUUUAUGAGGAUGUAUUUUAAAUCGUUUUUCUUGCAUUGAACUUUAAAUAAAACAUUAAAGGCAAAAAAAUUUUUCUAAGGUAGUCUUUAGCCUAAUUAUACCAUCUCGGAGGAACUUGCCUGACAUCCAGUGAGAGAACUUGUGGUAUUUUAGGCAGCUUUUGCUGAAACUGUAAACCUAUCAGGUCUGUACCAAAAAGGUAAAGUUUAUGAUGAAAAACAACUAAGCUACUGUCUGUCAGCUGGCUGUGUUCAUUUACACAGUGCUGCUAGCUGCUUCAGUUGGAAAAUGCCACGCUUUUGCUUAAGUCGCCACAGGGAAUCUAAGGUCAAACUGAUAUUUGCAGGUUGCUCUAACUGGACUGGCUGAAGCAGUAAAUGCUACUAGUGCUCUUGUGCUCUGUCCACCCUCUUUCUGCAGGUUUUUAUGUAUGCAGCAGAGUCACCUGGCUGCAAAACACAUCUGUAAUGAAGUUACAAGCUUAUAGACCAGCACCUGAGAGUAAACUUGGCGGUAGUUGGUAUGAGUCUGUCAUGUAAGACUAGGCUCUGCUGAUGGGUGUAACCUGAGUGCUUUUGAUGAUCUCUUUAUUACUUAAUUCCCCUGCAAGAUUCACAGCCCCAAACAGCUCCUUUGUAUUUCUUCAACCUGUCUCCCUUUUCAGAGCCCUUGCACUGGUACUUUAGCACAUCUUUUCCUGCUUUCUUUAACGAUGUACUCCUUUCCAACUGCCCACUUCUCCUGGUCAGGUCCGUCUCAAUCUCUCAUCUCGGCAAUUCCAAACAGCAGUUCCUAGGGUUCUCUGUGAUUCCCAGCAGCCCCAUUACAAUAGCUGUUUGAUGCCUUCUAUGUCCCAUAGCCAACAGCAGUAUAUUAGAGUAGUUGUACACUGGCUAAACACCCUGGUUCGAAAACUGUGACUGGUGUGAGUGACAAGGUAGACACAGAAGACUGAGAAACUCGAGAACAUGUGUUGUUAGGAUUAGUAUUUGUCUCUCCAGGCCCCAUCAUGCCACUGGUAACUUUAAAGAAUUCCUCUGGGUUGUGACUUGGGUUCUGGCCUUGCAUUUCACUCCCCAGUAAAAGCCUGUGGUUAAUCAAAGCAAAAUACACACAUACCUGCUUGGGUGGUAAUUCUCCUUACAUGACACAUUUACUGCUGAGAAAAAAGCUAUCAUUCCGUCUGCCAUUUUUUUUAAUCCUGUAAUUACUAUGAUUAUUCAUGGUGUUGACUGAAAUUCAAUUGAAUUUUACUUGUGUAUGGUCAGGUCACAGGCUGCUGACCAUAUACAAAAUGCCAUGCUAUAGGAAGCUUCUGCCUGAGAUAGUCUUUAUGCACAGUAUAAAUAAAUGUUAUUGAUAACUAUGCAAGUAAGCCCAUUGAUUUUAAUGGUACAGCUGAAAGUAAGAAAGUAAGAAUGGCAAAAGGAUGCUUUUUGCUACAUGGAAUUAAGAUGGUGAGAAGAUGCAUUUAAGGAAGCAUUGACAAUAUAACUUACAAAACAAAUAACCUUAUUUAAUUGAUUGCCUCUUGCAAUUUGCCACAUAAAAGGUGUUAUUGGUUUAUUCACACAUUCAUUUAUUCAUUGUGGAUAGUAUCACACUGAAUACUUAUCUCUGAGCUUAGUGGCCUCAGGGAUAAUCCAAGCUAGUAUUAUGUUAAACAUUAUGUGGAACAAUGAAAGAGCCAAAGCAUGCAAUUGUUGCUGUUCCAAAAGGUUAGGUAAACCUCUAAUAUCUACAUGCAGUGUCUAUACAGAAUGUCUAUAUACAGAUGAGGAGGAAUUUUAUAGAAAAUCAGUUGGAAAUGCUAACUUCUAUAGGUGUUCAGCAAGACCUGAGCCUGUGCAAAGAGGUGGGAUAAAGCAGGAGACCCUAUUUGAAAGUGCAGUAGUGGGAUUCAGUUGUACAGGCUGGCAGGAAAUAGCCUUUCAGUGUGAAACAAAAGGUACCUGGGACCAGAACAGCGUGUGAACGGGCUUGCAAUUGAAGAGCAACAGUUUUGUGUGUGAUAGAGAAGACUGGCUCUGGAAAGGGGUGGAGAACUAACAUUGGAAAAAUAAGAAAAUGGUGUUGCAGAGCUUUCUGAGCAGAAGCAAAUGCUCUAUCUGUUGAGGCCAGAGAAAAGGAUGUCAACAAUAACUGAGACGAGGAGAGCUUGAGUGAGAUACCCAGUCACGUCAAUAAAUAACAAAGAUCGUGCCCUGGUUGAGAUUCCCACAGCAGUUCAGAGCAAUCUGAGCUCAAACACCACGUUCCUGGCUGUCAGUUUCUACCUGCUCCUUUGCACAGUGGGCCGUAAAACAGCUCAGUAGAAUAGUGGUUGGUUUACAGACAGAGGGUUUGUUUCAAACAUGCUCACUGCCAGAACUUUAAAUUACAAUGGAGACAGCUGAAGUUUGAAUGGAGGCAGUAACACCUGUAUUUGUGCAUCAGGAUGUUGAGCUGUGAGCUAGAAGGGAAGGGAGGAGAGUCAGGGUCAGGGCUCACCACUGCUCUUGCAGAAGACGGGAGAAAAUAUAGGGGAAGGUACUGACAAGCCAAGCUGAAACUGUCACUGGAGAAGCAAUAGGUGAGAAUAACUGUACAAGCGAAGAUCGGAGAUGAGCUGGCUAUGCUACACGUGGCUGAAGGCCAAAGAAGAGAUUGGUUUAAGAUGGGUUGAGAAACUUCCCGAUGACAGGAGGAAGGAACACCAAGUUUAAGGGGAUUUAGGGUAGAACCAGAUGAGAUGCCAUUGGAAGACUUGUAAAAGUAAGCUGACAGGAGGCACUGCUACCGAAGGCUUGCAUUUGGUUUCUGUUGGCUUUUUCUUCUUAGUAUUUAAAAGAGACCAGCAUAUCUGUGUGGGUGCUGGGGGGUCACAGCAGACCCAAUGACUAAAGCUGUGAACAAAUGGAAGAGUGGGUGUGAGGAAAAUCAGGAAAUGAAACAGAGUGAGGUUAAUAAGGCAAGUGAUGGAGUUACAGAAGAUAUGUAGGUAAUAUUAUUGUAAUUGCUGCUUAGAGAUUUGUAGAAAGGGAAAGCAUCAGGAGAGUACUUUAAUUUUAACUUUAAAGAAAAUGGUGCAAUAGCAAGCAGAGGAGAGCAGAAAGAGAGGCUUGCCAAGGGUUAGUCAGCAGCAAUGCAAAGCUAGCUAGGAAUACAGGAGGGCAGAUAAGCUACAGUAGAAAUGCUUAGCUGUAAGAAGGCAGAAAUGGAAGAGUGAGCUGGCUUGCAGGAGAGGAAGUCUGCUUGAUGACAGGGUUUCCGCCAGAGACACUUCACACUGCAAAAGUAAGGAUGGCUGAAGCAAGCUGAAGGUAAGCUGGUGCUGUGGGUGUGACAGUUUAUCAUGAGAGACAGAAGCAAAGAAGUCAGUGGUGGAUUAAAGUUGUGUGUAGUAAAUGUAUAGCUAAUAAAUUGCUGCUAAAGCACAUACGUUCUUCUGUGCUUAAUGUCAAAAUGCAAGUAAAGCUAAAGGAUGUGCAAGCUGCAUUUUUAAUCAAUGCAACUAGUUUGUAUUGCUUCUUUAGCUUUUCUUCACUCUGUUAUUUUCAUCAUUCUGUUUUUCUGUCCUUUUUUCACCAGUCUUCCAGCCAUUAGUUUAUCCUCCUUGUUGCAGUGUUGGAGUACAAAGCUCUGGAGUAAUAUUUCUCCUUCAAAAGUUAUUUUUCUGUUGUUACUUGACUGCAAAUGCACCUGCAGCCACAGCCUUUCAGUGUUGUUAUAUUCCAAGCCAGCUAAAAAUAAGUGAGAGAACCAAGGCUGAUUAAACAGCUUAACAGAUAAGAUACAGCAGCAAAGCUAUGCCCUAAGAAGUAUUCAGAACCGCCAUGGUUUAUUUCAUUGUCAGUGUAAUUUUACCCUUUUUUUUUUAUUGUUUCCUUUCUUAAAAGCACACCUCUGGCCUGCAGAUGUUAGGGAAGGUGCCUCAGGCCAGCAUUUUAGUUACACAGACAUUUUUUCAAGCACUAUAAAGAUAAUAAAAACAAGAUAACGAUGCUAACACAGGGUUGCAAAGUCAAGUUUAUGGAAUCCGAGGCUUUAGAAGAACCCUACUACUGUAAAAAGACAGUGUCGUCGUUAGGGGACACACGAGGGUAUUUUCUCUUCACAUGCGGGGCCACUUUAAAUUCGCAAGGCUGCAUUAUUAAACCAUCGUGGGAAGAGAAGCCGCAGGAAGCCCGGUGUCAUUGGCUGCAGCUCCAGAUGCAGCCGCCCGCUCAUUGGAGAGCAGAGGAUUCUCCGAGGUACUAAAAUUAGACAAUCUCCGCCCUCCAGAAAUGGUUCUGGAAACAGCGAGGAGGAGCCCAAACCCUGACACAGAGCGAGGGCCUUUGGUGCGGGCAGAGCGCACAGAACCCUACUCCCGGUUAAGCUGCAGCAUCCAAAGGCACACAGAGAUUGAUUUCUUAGCUUGGUUAGCUGAAUAAAGCAUGCCCACAAUAAAGAAACUGCAGGAGAUGAAGCAGUGUUUUACACGGAUAUUAAAUUCAGCAUUUCUUAUGUAAUCACAAUUCUGAAGCGUUCAUCCAGGCUGAGGAAGCCUUUGAAUUAAAAUCCAAGCUGUCAGACUGGUGCUCAUUGACUUUGAAAUGAAAUCAUCUUCCUAAAUGAACUCUGAACUGAACUAAAACAAAAUGGUAUCCCUAUGGAAGAAACACCAAGUGCCUGUAUCAGUGAACAAAGUCUGCAUCUGAAUUACUCCAUCUUGUACACUCAGGACCUUUAUUUGGUUUUUAAGGUAUGCGAAUAAAGACUUCAGCCUUUGCAUUUCAAACAUAUUCCAAACUGGAAUAUGCAAGGAAAUAGUUUUUUUCCAUUUUUUUCCAAAGUGGCUGCAAGGAAAUAGUUUUGUUUCUCAUUUCUAUUUCCACAUUAUUUACAUUACUCAUGAAGAAGAUAAAGGCAAAGUGGAUUCUUCUUACACUAUAAACAGCAUUUGCUCUUUCCUCUGCUAACCAGGGUACAAUGUCAGCAUCUGUGGCUCUUAAAGUGUGGGGGUUUGGGGGAUUUCUCCUUUACUUUCAGUCUGAGUUCAGUAAAAAUUGAAGCCGAUAUACUUGU
Pezoporus occidentalis (night parrot) is the source of this 6099-nucleotide long non-coding RNA. RefSeq lists it as uncharacterized. The record is from RefSeq and is a predicted model, not a curated record. NCBI's taxonomy places the organism in Eukaryota, Metazoa, Chordata, Aves, Psittaciformes, Psittacidae. The transcript is spliced from 2 exons.